Mustela lutreola (European mink) is the source of this 1139-nucleotide long non-coding RNA. RefSeq lists it as uncharacterized. The transcript is spliced from 3 exons. NCBI's taxonomy places the organism in Eukaryota, Metazoa, Chordata, Mammalia, Carnivora, Mustelidae. The record is from RefSeq and is a predicted model, not a curated record.
GAAUAUUAUUGAAAUUCAAGCAAAACUGAAAUUGUACAGAAAAUAGAUAAGUACAAGCCCAGUGCCCUGCACAGCUCUGUGAACAAGGAUUUCAUGGUCAUCACAGAGUGAACAGUACACUGUAAUCUAAUCAAGAUUGUAAGUGUGUUUUGUUUGGCUGUAGAACAAAGAGGAAGGAGCUAUGUGUGCAUAUAUGCAUCCAUGUCGGGGGUUAGGGAAGAGUGCCAGAUAACCAGACAGUCCUGUUCCCAGUGGGAAGUCAAUGGAAAAUAUCCACAACCGAAAAUCAAGAAAAAGGACAGGUCUCGGUUUUCUGAUCUGUAACUUGGGACUGAUACCACGGACGGGAUGGCUGGGAAAACGGAGCGCGAUGGUGCAUGUGGAAAACCUCGCUCUUACAAGGUCUGGAAACCAUGACUAACCCCCAAAUAAUGAGCAUCCGACACCCAGACUGUGUUCUCUAAAUUGGAUUUCGAACUAAAAGGAACCAUGUCUUCUUGGAUAAAUGCGGAUUUCAAGGCUGGGACGGGAAAUAUCAAAGGGCAGCCUGGGACAUUCUGUGGGUCAGGCAGGCAAACAAGCUGUCAGAGACUGCAGGGCAUGUGUCAAAAAGAUCUAAGAACCCACUUGAAUGAGUCCCACUGGCCAAAGAGGAGAGAAUGUGAACAUUAUAGCAAUGAUGAUACAAUACCAUGUCAAAUAUAUUAAAAUCUGUGAGUUCAAAAUGAUACGAAAAAAAAUGUGAUUACUUUUGGAAGAUGCUUAGAAACCAACUGGUUAUUUUGAAAAGUGGUGAAGGAGAAAACGGGAGGCACACAAAUAAGUCUUCUGCUCUGUCGAGGCUACAGCUCAGGAAUUUCAGCAAAAGAAAUGCUACAACCAGAAUCUGACCAUUUUGCAACUGCUCAUGAAACGCGGGUCCGAUCUGGGACCCGAGCUGGAAGUCCACGGGGCAGGCAGUUGGGAAGGGAGGUACGGAUGUCCGUUGCAGCAGAAGCCAGGAAGAGGGCCCGAAAGCUACAGCAAUUCUGGUCUCUGAUGUUGACGGUAAGGGUGUCCCACCGAAGCCAGGGCUUCUGGCGUGGGACAUGCAUGCGCGCUCAUGCGCGCGCGCGCGCACACACACACGCCCAGGCAGU